UCCGUGUAACCUGAUCCUGGGAGCCAGUUUUUCUUUCACCUUGUCAACCAAGUCGGCGUCGAAUUCCCGCGGGCUCCGUACAAGUGAAACUUGCUGAACACUGCGAACGGUGACAACGUGCUCCCACGAAAUCUGCCGGGACCCGAAGUAUUGGAUUGCGCGUAAGCUGUCCAGAGUUCGUUCGCUGCUGUGUUGGCAGGCCAUCGUCGUGCAACAGAAUCUAACACCAUGCAUAUCUGCAGCGACAGAGCUGCACUGGAAAAACAAGAUCUGCUUUGCCUUCCCCUAUGCACUCGCACUUGCUACUCAGAAUGUGCAUUCCCUGUGACACCUGGAUGGUUGUCUCGCGACGUAAAGCCGGGAAUUAUCAAUUAUCAAGCGACACCCGCUGACGCUGCAUUCCAGCAAAGCGACAACCAGAUCCGCAACUCCGACCAAGCGCAGGCGUGCAGGCAUGCAUUACAAACUCCCGCAGCUCACCACCCUCCAGCAGGCAACACUGCGUCGCCAGCAAAAAACGCGACUGUCUCUUGCCGGAAUUCUCCUCGUUAGCCGAAGGACACAGUGACGGGUGGGUGGUCUAAAACAACCACCUAAAACAGGAGCCAAAAACGAGUUUAGACGAACUCAGCAUGAAGCACCCAAUGGGCUCAUGACGUCCCGUUGGCAUGCUGGGUAUGUCUAUUUUCUUCACUCAAGAAGCUCUGCCUUUUGUUCCGAUUCCUAAUUGGUCUCGAGAGUACAGCGAAAAACAAUGUAUACCGCAGUUGGCCGCGAAAGAACAUGGCACCCCCGCUGGGUCUUGUAACGGAUUGCUGUGUACGCCCGAGCUUGACUGCUACUAAAAUGACCUUUUAAAAUAAUAUGUGCUGCGGAGGGUAGAGCAGCUCUCCGUUUCACUGCGUCGACCACGCGUGUCGUUGUGAUUUACGCUUUCCAAAGUUUCUGAUGCGGAAAAACUCUCUGUUUGCUUGUACUCGCUUUCUUUUGUGGGCGGGGAACGUUGUUCGUUCACUCUAAACAAGCGAGUCUAACAACAAUGUACGAAACGCGUUCGGACGGAGACGAUGU
Ornithodoros turicata is the source of this 1071-nucleotide long non-coding RNA. RefSeq lists it as uncharacterized. The transcript has 4 exons. The record is from RefSeq and is a predicted model, not a curated record. NCBI's taxonomy places the organism in Eukaryota, Metazoa, Arthropoda, Arachnida, Ixodida, Argasidae.